UACGUAGGGUGCGAGCGUUAAUCGGAAUUACUGGGCGUAAAGCGUGCGCAGGCGGCUUCGCAAGUCAGACGUGAAAUCCCCGGGCUUAACCUGGGAAUGGCGUUUGAAACUACGGAGCUGGAGUGUGGCAGAGGGAGGUAGAAUUCCACGUGUAGCGGUGAAAUGCGUAGAUAUGCGGAGGAACACCGAUGGCGAAGGCAGCCCCCUGGGCCAACACUGACGCUCAGGCACGAAAGCGUGGGGAGCAAACAGG
RNAcentral lists this ribosomal RNA (253 nucleotides) under uncultured bacterium. RNAcentral describes it as "partial 16S ribosomal RNA". It matches the Rfam family "Bacterial small subunit ribosomal RNA", at positions 524 to 776 of the family's 1533-position model. The record is from RNAcentral.